GAUGAAGAACGUAGCGAAAUGCGAUAAGUAGUGUGAAUUGCAGAAUUCAGUGAAUCAUCGAAUCUUUGAACGCACAUUGCGCCUUCUAGUAUUCUGGGAGGCAUGCCUGUUUGAGCGUCAUUAAACCUCUCUCAAGUAUGAUUACUUGGAUGUGAAGGAAGAGUACCUUAAACUUAAGGAGUGUUCUCCUUUGAAAUUGAUUAGCAGAUGGUAAUGUUAUUAAAUCCCUGAUGUUGUAAGAAAUAACAGUGGUUUUGUAGACUAUUAUCUAGCUUUAAAAUAUAAUUUUUAUUAUGGUUGACCUCAAAUCAGGUAAGGAUACCCGCUGAACUUAAGCAUAUCAAUAAGCGGAGGA
Molecule: unclassified non-coding RNA, 355 nt
Filed under: soil metagenome
Description: partial contains 5.8S ribosomal RNA, internal transcribed spacer 2, and large subunit ribosomal RNA
Rfam family: 5.8S ribosomal RNA (bases 1-120)
Source: RNAcentral